UAAUGCAAAGUAGUCCUUUGACCUGAGGCAUCAUAGUUGUCUUGUGGUUAAGUCCUUGAUCUUUAAUUAUGUCAAAGUCACUCCAUCAGGAGGGUGUCCACGGCAUCGUUGGGGUCAAGCCACUUAGCUAUGGAGACAAGUGAAUGCGCAACAAGGGAUCUCUAACCUUCAAACCAUUUGAGGGAGAAUACUCUAUGAUAUGAUUUAAAUCUCUGGCCAGAGUAUGAAUGAGAUUUGGGAAUGCGUUCCUAAUCACAUUCAAGGU
This 265-nucleotide long non-coding RNA is filed under the name Malus domestica (apple). RNAcentral's name for it is "long non-coding RNA (MDOM_LNC018020)". The record is from RNAcentral. Lineage: Eukaryota; Viridiplantae; Streptophyta; Magnoliopsida; Rosales; Rosaceae.